Acanthosepion pharaonis is the source of this 84-nucleotide non-coding RNA. The record is from the annotation of a GenBank genome assembly. NCBI's taxonomy places the organism in Eukaryota, Metazoa, Mollusca, Cephalopoda, Sepiida, Sepiidae.
CGGUCAAAUCACUCUGAAACACCGGUUCUCGUACGAUCACCGAAGUUAAGCAUCGUAGAGCCAGGUCAGUACUUGGGAACACCU